AGCAGUACUUCAGUCAGAGAGAAUCACUCUUUAGAUGCUCUUCAUCAACUCCGGGUUGGUAAGAUUAUUCAGACUUCAAUUAGUCUAGUCUCACUGAUUACAGUCCUGAUUAUACACACAGGGUUUGAAAGACCACACACACAGACUGGUGACAGUAAGCUGCAGUGUUUCAGAUCACAGUAUUUGACUUCAUCCUUCAGUACAGCGUGAAGUGAAUCAACCAGACGAGAUGUCUCAGCAGAAAUUUGAAGACCUCAGUGAUGAACUGCAACAAUGCAUUGAGAAACUCAACUCAGCAUACAACAGAAAUCAUACAACUCUCAGAGAUCAAAUAAAGAAACUGGAAGACAUCAUCAAAGAACUUGAAUCCAUGCACAAGAACACUACGAAGGGUAGUUUGGUAGGAGCAUCAAUAGGAGCAUUAGGAGGAAUUACAUUGCUGGGUAUAGCUUUGGCUCCAUUUACGUUUGGUGCUUCCAUAGCUGUUACUGGAGCGGCUGGUGUUACUGCAAUGGGUGUUGGAGUAACUGGAGGACUAAUAGGUGCAGCGUCUAACAUCACUAACAUGUGGAGGCAGAAAAACCUGCGUCAGACUAUUGAAAAUAUCAUCAAUGAUUUCCAGAGCAAAAUCGAACCAAUGAUUGCGCAUCUCAAUACAAUUUCUCAAACCAUAGAAAACCUUCAGAAAGUGGAGAGCAUGUAUUCUCUUCAAAAUAAGGCAGUGCUGACAACUGUUAAAGCUGUGAAAACUGCUAAUAACAUUAGUAGUCUUUUACAUGUGCUUCGAACUACUAAAAUUGGGAAAGUGUUCGCAAGAGCUGCCAAAACAGUUCAAGUGGUUGGGAAACUAUAUGCGUCGAUCUCAACUAUAUUUUUUUUCCUUGAUAUUUACACAAUUUACUGUAAUUCAGCAGAGCUCUCUGAAAUGAAUUCAGGAAAAGAGAAAAAAGCAGAAGAAAUCAAAUCAGAAACUUGGAGUUUUAUUUGUGAAAUGAGAAAAAUAUCUGCUAGAUUUCAGGAGACUCUGGACGAAAUUACAUGUGCUAGAGACGCUAUUAACAAAGCAUUACAAAUCAGUCAAAAUCAUUUUUGAAAUGACUGAACUGCUCUGUUUAGUGUUGUCACUUUAAAAUGAAAUCUUGACAACUGAAGGGGUACAUAUACAUGCAAACUCUCAUAUAACAGUUUAUUUGAAGAAAAUGUUAAAGAAAAGAAGGUAAAGCAUACAUGUUUACUCAAUUAUUUUGCAAUAUAUGUGAUUGUGUAGUCUGCAUGACCUUGGAUAAACUCUAUUUGCAAACAGUCUUUGUAAAUGAACCACUUGCACUGGGGUUUAGAUCUUUUUAUUUCUUCUGAGAUUCUAUGGGCAUCCAUUUCAUUUGCUCUUUUUGUGAAGAAUGAUACUGUUUUACAAUGUAAAGAUCAAAAUAGCUAUUGCAAAAAUAAAUGGACAUGAUCUCUCCAACAUAUUUACCAAAUUGUGUGAUCUUUUAUAGAAAAGUGUUUGUUAAAGUAAACUGAAGCUAAAAUAAACCAAUUUUGUUUAAUAAUAACAACAAAUGAUAAUGAUGUUUAUUUUAUAUAGCACCUUCCAACAAACUCAAGGACACUUUUCAAUCAUAAAUACAUAAACAUAACAACAAAAAUAAGGAUAGGCAUAUAUAAACAUUUAGUGUAGAGAAAACAAAACAAAAGCAGAUCAGGAGACAGGAAAACUAGAAAAACAAAGUAAAUGGAUACAUUUUCAAAUGAGCUUUGAAUUCCUGUAAUGGAGAAUGUUGUAUUGAAUAUGGAAACUAAUAGGCAGUCAGUGUAGUCUGUAUAGAAGAUGGGAAAUGUGAGAAGAUUUCUUGGUACGUAUAAGUACCCUAACUGCUGAGUACUGAAUAUAUUGAAGCGUACUGUAUGUAAAGUUGAAGUGGGUAAACCAAAGAAAAAAGAACUACAGUAGUCUAAACGGGAAGUUUAGCGUGGACUAGGGUCUCCACAUCACUGAUAUUUUAAAAUGGAUGUAAACAAGCAAUAUUUCAAAGGUGAAAUAAGGCAGAUUCAGUGAGCGAUAUGAUAUGAAAAGAGAAAGACAGGGAAGAAUCGAAAAAUGUACCUAGGUUUUUAACAGAGGUGGAAGGUUGCACACAAUCACCAGCAAUAUCAAUUUUUGCAAAACAGGGGGUCAAUCAAAAGUUUUACAAGUGUUACAUUUAAGAAAAGUCUUGGUCAUCCAUGCAUUUCUUUCAUCAAUGCAGGCUGAU
Molecule: long non-coding RNA, 2252 nt
Organism: Carassius gibelio (silver crucian carp)
Lineage: Eukaryota; Metazoa; Chordata; Actinopteri; Cypriniformes; Cyprinidae
Exons: 4
Source: RefSeq, a predicted model, not a curated record